UAGGUUGACCUCGGAUCAGGUAGGGAUACCCGCUGAACUUAAGCAUAUCAAUAGCCGGGAGGAAAAAGGAUCAUUAAAAGAUUAAGUGUCGCGACCUAAAAAAUCGCGACACUUCAACCCUCUGUUGUUAUAACUACCUUGUUGCUUUGGCGGGACCGUUCGGUUCUCGAGCGCACAGUCUUCGGACAGGUGAGCGCCGCGGAGUCAACCAAACUCUGUGUUUUUACCAGUCGUCC
This 236-nucleotide ribosomal RNA is filed under the name Dothidea hippophaes. RNAcentral's name for it is "Dothidea hippophaeos partial 28S ribosomal RNA". Lineage: Eukaryota; Fungi; Ascomycota; Dothideomycetes; Dothideales; Dothideaceae. The record is from RNAcentral.